RNAcentral lists this ribosomal RNA (497 nucleotides) under uncultured bacterium. Its description in RNAcentral is "partial 16S ribosomal RNA". It matches the Rfam family "Bacterial small subunit ribosomal RNA", at positions 28 to 507 of the family's 1533-position model. The record is from RNAcentral.
GAUGAACGCUGGCGGCGUGCCUAAUACAUGCAAGUCGAGCGGACAGACGAGGCGCUUGCUGCUCUGACGUUAGCGGCGGACGUGUGAGUAACACGUGGAUAACCUACCUAUCAGACUGGUAUAACUUCGGGAAACCGGCGCUAAUACCGGAUAAUAUAUUGCACCGCAUGGUUCAAUAGUGAAAGACGGUUUUGCUGUCACUUAUAGAUGGAUCCGCGCCGCAUUAGCUAGUUGGUAAGGUAACGGCCUACCAAGGCAACGAUGCGUAGCCGACCUGAGAGACGGAUAGGCCACACGGGAGCGUGACCACGGUCCAUAGUCCUACGGGAGGCACCAGUAGGGAACCGGCCGCAACAGGCGGAAGUCUUACGGAGUAGCCGCGCGCGAGAUAUGACGGUCCUCGGAUCGUAAAACUCUCUUACGAGUUAAGAACCGAUGUGUAAGUAACUAUGCCCUUCUUGACGGUACCGAAUCAGAAAGCCACGGCUAACUACGUG